UGUUAGCACUAAUCUUGACAUGUGUGGUUCCGUCAGCAGCCGAGUCCCGCGGCUGUUACGAGCGGGGCGUCCGGUAGAGUUGCCGAGUCCUAGAGUGCAUGGAUAAGGUAGUUAUCUAGUUGCAUGCAUGUAGCUAGUGGGUUAGUGGCCCGGUCAUGUGGCAGUGGCCGGUGUGGUGCAUGCGUGCUGUAGUUAGUGCAUGGGGUUAGUGGCCGAUCUGGGCGGCUGGGCUGGGCGUAAGUCUGUGUAUUAAAAGGGCCCCGGUGCUGCUGUGUAGAGGAGCCACAGAGAG
RNAcentral lists this ribosomal RNA (292 nucleotides) under Triticum aestivum (bread wheat). Its description in RNAcentral is "partial small subunit ribosomal RNA". The record is from RNAcentral. Lineage: Eukaryota; Viridiplantae; Streptophyta; Magnoliopsida; Poales; Poaceae.